Molecule: transfer RNA, 111 nt
Filed under: Aureobasidium namibiae CBS 147.97
Lineage: Eukaryota; Fungi; Ascomycota; Dothideomycetes; Dothideales; Saccotheciaceae
Rfam family: tRNA
About the family: Transfer RNA (tRNA) molecules are approximately 80 nucleotides in length. Their secondary structure includes four short double-helical elements and three loops (D, anti-codon, and T loops).
Source: Rfam by way of RNAcentral
GCUGUGGUAGUGUAGUGGCUAUCACACCCUGAGUCUUUGGCGCACACGUGUCCAGCGUGGCAAAAAUAAUGACUUCCAGGAAGAUCGCAGGUUCGAGUCCUGCCCACGGUU